This 748-nucleotide ribosomal RNA is filed under the name Chaetonotus dadayi. Its description in RNAcentral is "partial large subunit ribosomal RNA". It matches the Rfam family "Eukaryotic large subunit ribosomal RNA", at positions 378 to 932 of the family's 3401-position model. Lineage: Eukaryota; Metazoa; Gastrotricha; Chaetonotida; Chaetonotidae. The record is from RNAcentral.
GAAGAGAGAGUUCAAAGUACGUGAAACCGUUCAGAGGUAAACGGGUAGAGAGUCGAAUUAGAGGCUGACAAUCAGGUCGUUGGCUAAGUCUGAGUUGGGCUGGUAGCACGUUAAUGGCUACCAGUUUGCCUGUCAGGCUGGCUACGGUUGUAUUUGUUGGUCCUGGAUCGCCGCGACGGCAGUGUCUGACCGGUUGGCGUUAGUCCCUCUGGUCGAUUUAGAUUCGUAUGAGUCUUCCGGCAAAUCGGACAUGGUCAAGCCGGCGUCGUUGGCACAGUCGAUAUAUAUAGCGGUUUAAGCGCUCCAGCUGUCGUCGAUUCCUCUGUAUCGAUGCGCUAAUCUUAAACGAGCUCACCCGUUGACAUUAUGGUGACGGUAGUUGGCUCAAUGACGGAGCAAAGAUCGCAAUGGCGGCGUUUGACUACGAAUCAUCUACCCGACCCGUCUUGAAACACGGACCAAGGAGUCUAACAUGUGCGCAAGCCAUUGGGAUUUUUAAACUCAAAGGCAAAGUGAAAGCAAAAAUGGUGAGAUCUGUCGUUUAUAUGUUGAUAAUAACAGCGGCGCAUCAUCGUCUCGCCUCAUAUCGGCUUCGGCUGAAGAGGCGCAGACUGAGCGCACAAGUUGGGACCCGAAAGAUGGUGAACUAUGCGAGGCGAGGUCGAAGCCAGAGGAAACUCUGGUGGAGGACUGUAGCGGUUCUAACGUGCAAAUUGAUCGUCGCAGCUUCGUAUAGGGGCGAAAGACU